RNAcentral lists this ribosomal RNA (1554 nucleotides) under Salmonella enterica. Its description in RNAcentral is "partial 23S ribosomal RNA". It matches the Rfam family "Bacterial large subunit ribosomal RNA", at positions 1292 to 2925 of the family's 2925-position model. Lineage: Bacteria; Pseudomonadati; Pseudomonadota; Gammaproteobacteria; Enterobacterales; Enterobacteriaceae. The record is from RNAcentral.
GAAUGCUGACAUAAGUAACGAUAAAGCGGGUGAAAAGCCCGCUCGCCGGAAGACCAAGGGUUCCUGUCCAACGUUAAUCGGGGCAGGGUGAGUCGACCCCUAAGGCGAGGCCGAAAGGCGUAGUCGAUGGGAAACGGGUUAAUAUUCCCGUACUUGGUGUUACUGCGAAGGGGGGACGGAGAAGGCUAUGUUGGCCGGGCGACGGUUGUCCCGGUUUAAGCGUGUAGGUGUGUGUUCCAGGUAAAUCCGGUUCACUUUAACACUGAGGCGUGACGACGAGGCACUACGGUGCUGAAGCAACAAAUGCCCUGCUUCCAGGAAAAGCCUCUAAGCAUCAGGUAACAUCAAAUCGUACCCCAAACCGACACAGGUGGUCAGGUAGAGAAUACCAAGGCGCUUGAGAGAACUCGGGUGAAGGAACUAGGCAAAAUGGUGCCGUAACUUCGGGAGAAGGCACGCUGACACGUAGGUGAAGUGAUUUACUCAUGGAGCUGAAGUCAGUCGAAGAUACCAGCUGGCUGCAACUGUUUAUUAAAAACACAGCACUGUGCAAACACGAAAGUGGACGUAUACGGUGUGACGCCUGCCCGGUGCCGGAAGGUUAAUUGAUGGGGUCAGCGCAAGCGAAGCUCCUGAUCGAAGCCCCGGUAAACGGCGGCCGUAACUAUAACGGUCCUAAGGUAGCGAAAUUCCUUGUCGGGUAAGUUCCGACCUGCACGAAUGGCGUAAUGAUGGCCAGGCUGUCUCCACCCGAGACUCAGUGAAAUUGAACUCGCUGUGAAGAUGCAGUGUACCCGCGGCAAGACGGAAAGACCCCGUGAACCUUUACUAUAGCUUGACACUGAACAUUGAGCCUUGAUGUGUAGGAUAGGUGGGAGGCUUUGAAGUGUGGACGCCAGUCUGCAUGGAGCCGACCUUGAAAUACCACCCUUUAAUGUUUGAUGUUCUAACGUGGACCCGUGAUCCGGGUUGCGGACAGUGUCUGGUGGGUAGUUUGACUGGGGCGGUCUCCUCCUAAAGAGUAACGGAGGAGCACGAAGGUUGGCUAAUCCUGGUCGGACAUCAGGAGGUUAGUGCAAUGGCAUAAGCCAGCUUGACUGCGAGCGUGACGGCGCGAGCAGGUGCGAAAGCAGGUCAUAGUGAUCCGGUGGUUCUGAAUGGAAGGGCCAUCGCUCAACGGAUAAAAGGUACUCCGGGGAUAACAGGCUGAUACCGCCCAAGAGUUCAUAUCGACGGCGGUGUUUGGCACCUCGAUGUCGGCUCAUCACAUCCUGGGGCUGAAGUAGGUCCCAAGGGUAUGGCUGUUCGCCAUUUAAAGUGGUACGCGAGCUGGGUUUAGAACGUCGUGAGACAGUUCGGUCCCUAUCUGCCGUGGGCGCUGGAGAACUGAGGGGGGCUGCUCCUAGUACGAGAGGACCGGAGUGGACGCAUCACUGGUGUUCGGGUUGUCAUGCCAAUGGCACUGCCCGGUAGCUAAAUGCGGAAGAGAUAAGUGCUGAAAGCAUCUAAGCACGAAACUUGCCCCGAGAUGAGUUCUCCCUGAGACUUAGAGUC